RNAcentral lists this long non-coding RNA (452 nucleotides) under Homo sapiens (human). Its description in RNAcentral is "HSALNT0130552". Lineage: Eukaryota; Metazoa; Chordata; Mammalia; Primates; Hominidae. The record is from RNAcentral.
GCACAGGGGGAGGUCUGCCAGGCUCUGCCCUGCCCAGUGACCAACUGCACUGCCAUUGAAGGGGCCGAGUAUAGCCCCUGUGGCCCUCCGUGCCCUCGCUCCUGUGAUGACCUAGUGCACUGCGUGUGGCGCUGCCAGCCUGGCUGCUACUGCCCACCAGGCCAGGUACUGAGUUCCAACGGGGCCAUCUGCGUGCAGCCGGGUCACUGCAGCUGCCUGGACCUGCUGACCGGGCAGCGGCACCAUCCGGGUGCUCGGCUGGCAAGGCCUGACGGCUGCAACCACUGGUAAGGGGCCCUCGCCGUGGUGGGAGGCAGGGAUGCCAGCAGGAGUUGCCCCACUUCAUCCCAUUCUCUCGAGCUCUCUGGAGUCUCCGCGGAUGGUCACAUUUGCCCCCCACAAUCCCUGAGCAGAUGUGGGGCAGGCACCAAGACCCGCGUCUGAUAGGCGAG